GAUGAAGAACGUAGCGAAAUGCGAUAAGUAAUGUGAAUUGCAGAAUUCAGUGAAUCAUCGAAUCUUUGAACGCACAUUGCGCCCCCUGGUAUUCCGGGGGGCAUGCCUUUCCGAGCGUCAUUACAACCCUCAAGCUCAGCUUGGUGUUGGGCCCCGCCGCCCCGGCGGGCCCUAAAGUCAGUGGCGGUGCCGUCCGGCUCCGAGCGUAGUAAUUCUUCUCGCUCUGGAGGUCCGGUCGUGUGCUCGCCAGCAACCCCCAAUUUUUUUCAGGUUGACCUCGGAUCAGGUAGGGAUACCCGCUGAACUUAAGCAUAUCAAUAAGCGGAGGA
RNAcentral lists this unclassified non-coding RNA (329 nucleotides) under soil metagenome. RNAcentral's name for it is "partial contains 5.8S ribosomal RNA, internal transcribed spacer 2, and large subunit ribosomal RNA". The stretch from base 1 to 120 matches the Rfam family "5.8S ribosomal RNA", at positions 35 to 154 of the family's 154-position model. The record is from RNAcentral.